Molecule: non-coding RNA, 37 nt
Filed under: Actinoplanes sp. SE50/110
Lineage: Bacteria; Bacillati; Actinomycetota; Actinomycetes; Micromonosporales; Micromonosporaceae
Source: RNAcentral
UCUCGAGACGACGUCGGCUUCCUCGGCUCGCUUCCCC